RNAcentral lists this ribosomal RNA (427 nucleotides) under uncultured bacterium. Its description in RNAcentral is "bacterial SSU rRNA". It matches the Rfam family "Bacterial small subunit ribosomal RNA", at positions 355 to 774 of the family's 1533-position model. The record is from RNAcentral.
UGGGGGAUUUUGGACAAUGGGCGAAAGCCUGAUCCAGCAAUGCCGCGUGAGUGAAGAAGGCCUUCGGGUUGUAAACUGCUUUUGUACGGAACGAAACGGUCUUUUCUAAUACAGAAGGCUAAUGACGGUACCGUAAGAAUAAGCACCGGUUAACUACGUGCCAGCAGCCGCGGUAAUACGUAGGGUGCGAGCGUUAAUCGGAAUUACUGGGCGUAAAGCGUGCGCAGGCGGUUAUAUAAGACAGAUGUGAAAUCCCCGGGCUCAACCUGGGAACUGCAUUUGUGACUGUAUAGCUAGAGUACGGCAGAGGGGGAUGGAAUUCCGCGUGUAGCAGUGAAAUGCGUAGAUAUGCGGAGGAACACCGAUGGCGAAGGCAAUCCCCUGGGCCUGUACUGACGCUCAUGCACGAAAGCGUGGGGAGCAAACA